AGAGGGUGAUGGGACAGAAGAGGGAGGAGACAGAGGCUGAUAAGACAGAGGAAGGAGGACAAAGAAGCUGUUGGGACAGAGGACAAAGGAGGGGACAGAGGCUGAUGAGACAGAGGAGGGAGGGGACUGAGGCUGAUGGGACA
Molecule: long non-coding RNA, 143 nt
Organism: Myotis davidii
Lineage: Eukaryota; Metazoa; Chordata; Mammalia; Chiroptera; Vespertilionidae
Exons: 3
Source: RefSeq, a predicted model, not a curated record